UUGAUUUUGUGGCGGACUGGGAUGAGAACCUCAGGUUCGACCAGUGAGCGUAGCGAACUGGAACGGCGAAGCCGGCCCGCAGGGUGAGCGCGUAGCGCGAGUGAUCCUAGUCCGCCAGCCA
RNAcentral lists this small RNA (121 nucleotides) under Gammaproteobacteria bacterium. Its description in RNAcentral is "RtT sRNA". It matches the Rfam family "RtT RNA". Rfam says of the family: This family represents a bacterial cis-regulatory element known as RtT RNA. The exact function of RtT is unknown although it is thought that it may be involved in changing the cellular response in relation to amino acid starvation. The record is from RNAcentral. Lineage: Bacteria; Pseudomonadati; Pseudomonadota; Gammaproteobacteria.